This 253-nucleotide ribosomal RNA is filed under the name uncultured bacterium. Its description in RNAcentral is "partial 16S ribosomal RNA". It matches the Rfam family "Bacterial small subunit ribosomal RNA", at positions 524 to 776 of the family's 1533-position model. The record is from RNAcentral.
GACAGAGGGUGCAAGCGUUGUUCGGAAUCAUUGGGCGUAAAGCGCGCGUAGGCGGCUUGGUAAGUCGAAUGUGAAAGCCCCCGGCUUAACUGGGGAGGGUCAUUCGAUACUGUUCGACUUGAAGGCAGGAGAGGGCAGCAGAAUUCCCGGUGUAGUGGUGAAAUGCGUAGAUAUCGGGAGGAAUACCAGUGGCGAAGGCGGCUGCCUGGCCUGUUCUUGACGCUGAGGCGCGAAAGCUGGGGGAGCAAACGGG